RNAcentral lists this ribosomal RNA (468 nucleotides) under uncultured bacterium. RNAcentral's name for it is "partial 16S ribosomal RNA". It matches the Rfam family "Bacterial small subunit ribosomal RNA", at positions 28 to 507 of the family's 1533-position model. The record is from RNAcentral.
GACGAACGCUGGCGGCGUGCUUAACACAUGCAAGUCGAACGGAAAGGCCCUGCUUUUUUGUUGUUCUCUAGUGGCUAACGGGUGAGUAACACGUGAGUAACCUGCUCUUUACUUUGGGAUAACUUCUGGAAACUGCGGCUACUACCGCAUAGUAGCUCCUGCUGCCUGGUGGGGGUUGGAUAGUUUAGUCGGUUGGUGAUGGACUCGCGGCUUAUCAGCUUUUUGGUGGGGUAGUGGCUUACCAAGGCAUUGACGGGUAUCCGACCUGUGAGGGUGGACAGGGACAAGGGGACUGAGAGACGGCGCAGAGUGGUACGGGAGGCAGAAGGGGGGAAUAUGGCACAGUGGGGGGACGCGUGAGGAAGAAACGUCGCGGGCGGAAAGAAGGUCUAGGGGUGGUAAACCGCUUAAGGCUGUGACGAAGCGUGAGUGACGGUAAUGGGUAAAGAAGCACCGGCUAACUACGUG